AUACCGGCCAGAGACCGAUAGCGCACAAGUAGAGUGAUCGAAAGAUGAAAAGUACUUUGAAAAGAGGGUUAAAUAGCACGUGAAAUUGUUGAAAGGGAAGCGUUUAUGACCAGACCUUCGCCGGGCGGAUCAUCCGGUGUUCUUCACCGGUGCACUUCGCCCGGCUUAGGCCAGCAUCGGUUUUCGCAGGGGGAUAAAGGCCCCGGGAACGUAGCUCCCUCCGGGGAGUGUUAUAGCCCGGGACGUAAUACCCUUGCGGGGACCGAGGUUCGCGCUCCGGCAAGGAUGCUGGCGUAAUGGUCAUCAACGACCCGUCUU
This 318-nucleotide ribosomal RNA is filed under the name uncultured fungus. Its description in RNAcentral is "LSU rRNA". It matches the Rfam family "Eukaryotic large subunit ribosomal RNA", at positions 320 to 655 of the family's 3401-position model. Lineage: Eukaryota; Fungi. The record is from RNAcentral.